CCAGCAGCUGCGGUAAUUCCGGCUCCAAUAGCGUAUAUUUAAGUUGUUGCAGUUAAAAAGCUCGUAGUUGGAUUUCGGGCGGGUCCUGGUGGUCUGCCUCUGGUAUGCACUGCCGGCCGAUCCGUCUUUCUGUCGGGGACGCGCUCUCGGCUUAACUGUCGGGACGCGGGCUCGGCGAGGUUACUUUGAGUAAAUUAGAGUGUUCAAAGCAGGCGAUCGCCCUGAAUACAUUAGCAUGGAAUAGCACGAUAGGACUCUGGCCUAUCUUGCUGGUCUGUAGGACCGGAGUAAUGAUUAAGAGGGACAGUCGGGGGCAUUCGUAUUUCAUUGUCAGAGGUGAAAUUCUUGGAUUUAUGAAAGACGAACUUCUGCGAAAGCAUUUGCCAAGGAUGUUUUCAUUGAUCAAGAACGAAAGU
Molecule: ribosomal RNA, 416 nt
Filed under: uncultured eukaryote
Lineage: Eukaryota
Description: SSU rRNA
Rfam family: Eukaryotic small subunit ribosomal RNA
Source: RNAcentral